CUUAGUAGACUUGUUAGAGUCAUUCUGACUCUGACUCGUCCUUUGUCAGAUAAACUCCUCAAUGUCCUAUACGGUAUCUUCAUGGGAAAUACUCCACAGUUGCCACCAGUAGAUACCAAAAUUCUUCUCAUGACAGCCACAGAACUCGCUGAGAAAAUUCGAAAGAGACAAGCCUAACUCAGGCAGCCGGGCAAGUUCGUUUUAAAGACCACAAAGCGGAGAGAGACUCGAAAUCGGCUGCCUUGUACCGGAAAGCUGGGGCCAUACCAGUGACUGUAACUAAUGUACCGGAACUAUGCAUGUGGUGGGAGAGUGCUAACCUAGCAUUUGGGAUGACUAAAAAUCAUUAGGACAUCAGAAGAACCGUUGGAGGCAGCUCAGGUGGUGAAGCUGCCCUUAUCACAGCAGAUGGAGGAAUUAUUGGAAUCGGAAACAACUUAGGAGGAAGUAUUGGCAUACCAUCUUCUUUCUGUGGAAUCUACGGACACAAGCCUUCAACAGGUGUAAUUUCAAAUAGAAAAUACUGGCAGAAUACUGAAGGGAAGUUAAACGAUUUCAUCAGCACGGGUCCAAUGUGCAGAUAUGCGCAGGAUCUUUUGCUACUUGUUAAAGUACUGUCAGAUAACGAUCGAAGACUGCGACUUAACGAAAAAGUGAAUUUCCGCAACGUGAAAGUGUACUACAUGGAAGAAGUGCCUGGAUAUCUGAAUUCUGCUAUUUGGCCGAUUAAAGUAGCCGUCAGAAAGGCUGCCAAACAUUUCGAAAACGAGUAGGGGAUCAUUGCCACGAAAGUUAAUAUCGAAGAAUUAAGAUACGGCUUCAACAUCUGGGAGAGCAAGUUACUGGAAAUUGGAUCACCUUCAAUGGCCAGUAUGUUGUCCGGCGAAGACGCCGAAGAUUCGAAAAUCAACUUAAUCAUGGAGCUGAUUAAAAGCUUCUUGAGAUGUUCAGAUCACACUUGGCCAGCCAUCUAUUUCGCAAUGGUCGAUAUGAGGGAAAAAAGUAAAUUCUAUUAUGAAUGCUUGGAGAAAUUCAACGCCCUGAAAACGAAACUCGAAGAGCUUCUACAGGAUGAUGCCAUAUUUUUGCUACCCACUCACCCAGAAUUGCCACCACAUUAUCUCAUGACCAUUCCUAAACUUCGAAACAUCGUGUACACCUGCAUUUUCAACACCUUAGGCUAUCCAUCGACACACAUUCCAACAGGAUUACACGAAGGAAUACCCAUUGGCAUCCAAGCCAUCAGCAGACGAUUCCAAGAUCAUUUGACCGUCGCAGCAGCCGUCGAACUGGAUAAAGUUUUUAAUGGUUGGAUAUGCCCAUGUCCCGUCAGUGUUAAAUAAAUACCAUUUAUUUUCAAACUUUGUGAAAAAUAGCACGUUUACAAGUAUGAGGAUGUUCAUUUCCAUGUGACAGUUUGCAAUUUGGUUCCCAAAAUUACACAUGUUGUCUUCGACUUUUGUACAAGAAGUUUCAGUAUUAUUUAAGAAAAAGAAAUUAAAAUGUUGUCUUAAUUAUUUGUGUAAUUUAUUAAAGAAUGUUAAUAAAAUACUUA
This 1555-nucleotide long non-coding RNA is filed under the name Stegodyphus dumicola. RNAcentral's name for it is "uncharacterized LOC118204086". Lineage: Eukaryota; Metazoa; Arthropoda; Arachnida; Araneae; Eresidae. The record is from RNAcentral.